CCAGGGACGGGGGAGCCUGGUGGGCUGCCAUCUAUGGGGUCGCACAGAAUGGGACACGACUGAAACGACUUAGCAGCAGCAGCAGCUGCAGCAGAGCACUGUAGAGCAUUGGAAAUAUGGAAGAUAAAUUUAUGGAAAUCUAGAAUCAUGGUUUUUUAGAAUCAUGGAAUGCAGGAAUGGUGAAAUGUUAGAAUAUUAAAUUAAGGAAACACUGAGUGAUAAGAUCUUAGAAUCACAGAACAUUGACAUCAUGAAAUGGUGAAAUUAGAAAGCCAUAGACUUUAACAGUCAUUGCAGUUUAUAAUUACAGACUUAUUGGAUUAUAGACUCUUAGAAUCACAGAGAAUUAGACUCAGAAUGUCUGUUUUGUUAGAGAAGUAUAGGAUCUGUGAAUUACAGAAUUUUGGAAUUACAGGCUUUUAGACAUAGCCUUGAUGAAUUUUAGAGGCAAAAAGGGAUUUAGAGGUCAUUUAGCCCUCCUCAUGGCCCUGCCCAAAUCUUCACCUAAGUCUACAACACAUGCACACACACUCCUGUACUUCUCUCUAGACAACGCAGUCUAAUUUUUUUGUUCCUUGUGUCUCACUGAGCUGCCGACCCCCUUUCCUUCCUCUCCUCUCUGCUUUGUCUCUCAUCAUUACAAAUUCCUUUUACCCUCUGUUUUUUUCCAGGACAGUUUGCUUUGGUCUCUGCAAAUCAUCCAGUGUCUUAACCCAUCAUGCCGGUACCUUGCUGUUUCAAUGAUUAACGUAUUGCUGAAAUGAAGCUUUGGCCCCUUUGGGGUGGGGAGCAAGAGGGAGGAGCAGACUUGUGUGUCUGUAUUUCUGUGGCCUCUGUCCCAGAAACAGCAGCGGACAGGUCCAGAUUUGAACCUCGGCUGCCCAUUCCUUCUGACGUGAGAGCUACAGCCGAGGCUGAGACUGGGAGUGUGGCCUAUCUAGGGCCAGCCUGGAAGCUCCUCCUCGUGGCCAGUCUCUGGAGGUGUGCGUGCUAGGUAUGCCGAGCCUGGGAGUGGGCUGCAAACCCUUUCUUCCCCUGAGGUAGCAGAGAGUCUGGAUGGUGGAGGAGAGCCCAGAGGGCCGGCUCUAUGUUUGGUGAGUAAACAUCCGAGUCGAGUUUCUGGCCUGUCACUCCGCAGCCUUUCAGCGAGUGAGAGGCCAGGUGGGCCGGAGGGAGUUCCCACUGGGGGCGCAUGAAGAGGCCAGGUCUGCAGGGCUGGAGC
RNAcentral lists this long non-coding RNA (1222 nucleotides) under Capra hircus (goat). RNAcentral's name for it is "lncRNA (ENSCHIG00010004584.1)". Lineage: Eukaryota; Metazoa; Chordata; Mammalia; Artiodactyla; Bovidae. The record is from RNAcentral.